Molecule: unclassified non-coding RNA, 360 nt
Filed under: Hevea brasiliensis (rubber tree)
Lineage: Eukaryota; Viridiplantae; Streptophyta; Magnoliopsida; Malpighiales; Euphorbiaceae
Source: RNAcentral
GGCCCCUCAAUAAUCUCAGAAUCUGGAUCAACAGAAGAAACAGGAGCCUGCUCAUAAUCAGGGAGUGUGGCCUGAACAGGAGUAGAGAUCUCACUCAUGAAGGCAACAACUAUGAUAUAAUUUCCGCUAAAUUGGCCCACAGCUUGAAGAAGAUUUGUUCCAAAUUUAAGCAUAUGAGGUACAGGAGAUGGAAGCUGAGGUCCAGGGUCCAUUGACACAUUAGUCCUCCUUCCGACGGGAGUCCCAUUUAGAAGAAAGUUCACUUGAGGAGGCGUAACAAUACAUAGUGAGGUCUCCAGAUUAUCUAUUUGUGCAACAAAUAGUCUCACUUUCUCUCCUUCAGAAAGGUUCAUAUUCUUU